Molecule: ribosomal RNA, 118 nt
Filed under: Pteropus alecto (black flying fox)
Lineage: Eukaryota; Metazoa; Chordata; Mammalia; Chiroptera; Pteropodidae
Source: RNAcentral
GUCUAUGGCCAUGCUACCAUGAACGAGCUGAUCCCAUCUGAUCUCGGAAGCUAAGCAGGGUCGGGCCUGGUUAGUACUUAGAUGGGAGACCACCUAGGAAGACCAGGUGCUGUAGGCG